Molecule: unclassified non-coding RNA, 2058 nt
Filed under: Hevea brasiliensis (rubber tree)
Lineage: Eukaryota; Viridiplantae; Streptophyta; Magnoliopsida; Malpighiales; Euphorbiaceae
Source: RNAcentral
UGCUAAACUAAGUAUAUAAUCUGAUUGUUAUUUACAUAGGGAAAACAAGUUUGAGGAGGAGAUCUUGAUCCCAAAUGACACGACCAAGGUUCAGCAGGAAACCAGCUCUUGUUCGUCUUCUCUCUGUUGCUGCUCUCUUCUCCAUUAUACUAAUCGCCAUUCAGUCCUCUUUCUUCACUGGUAGUCGGGCUCCCGUUAAUUUGGAUAUUCCGAUCUUGUCCCACUUCCAGUCUAACCUUCAGCAAUGCGUCGCUAAUCGAGGGCUGGGAUUGACUGCUCAUAUAAUUGAUCAUUGCAAUGUCAUUCUCAAGUUUCCCCAAGGAACUAAUAGCACUUGGUAUAAUGAGCAGUUCAAGAUCUUUGAACCAUUGGAGUACAAGUACGACGUUUGCGAAACAAUACUUCUGUGGGAGCAGUACCGUAACAUGACGACAGUGUUGACAAGAGAAUAUUUGGAUUCUCGGCCUGAUGGAUGGUUUGACUAUGCAGCAAAAAGGAUCGCACAGCUAGGAGCAGACAAAUGUUACAAUCAGACUCUUUGCGAAGAACAUCUCAAUCUAACUUUACCAGCUAAGCCCCCGUUUCACCCUCGACAAUUCAGAAGAUGUGCAGUCGUUGGCAAUUCUGGAGACCUCUUGAAGACGCAAUUUGGAGAGGAAAUUGACAGUCAUGAUGCAGUUAUACGAGACAAUGAGGCUCCUGUUAAUGAGAGAUACGCCAAGCAUGUUGGCCUGAAGAGAGAUUUUCGCUUAGUUGUGCGAGGUGCUGCCGGAAACAUGAUUAAAAUUCUCAACGGUUCUGAUGAUGAGGUGCUUAUAAUUAAAAGUGUCAUCCAUAGAGACUUCAAUGCAAUGAUAAAGAAAAUCCGGAAUCCAGUCUAUCUGUUCCAAGGUAUCGUAUUACGCAGAGGUGCGAAAGGAACUGGGAUGAAAUCAAUAGAAUUAGCACUUUCCAUGUGCGACAUUGUUGACAUCUAUGGUUUCACUGUCGAUCCUGGUUACACAGAAUGGACUCGAUACUUUUCCACACCAAGGAAAGGGCACAACCCACUCCAAGGAAGGGCUUAUUAUCAACUCUUAGAAUGCCUUGGAGUCAUACGAAUCCAUUCUCCUAUGCGAGCAAAGAGAAAGCAAGACUGGUCUGAUGUGCCUAGUCGAGAAAUGAUAAACAACGCUCACAGAGCUGCAUUGCAUUUGAAAAAGAAGCAAGCUGGGCAAGAGGGGGGAUUGGGACGAUUUGUUAACUGUAAAGUAUGGGGCAAAUCAGGUCCCUAUGGCACUGGGCCUGUAUCUGGUUCCACAGAUAUGACAGAUACCAGGAAGGAGUCAAAUUACAAUCGAUGGGAAAUCAUGCCUUUUGAGAGCUUGAGGGAGGAAGCACGGAAGCACUAUAUGCAGAUGGAAGGUGUGUCUUUGUACAAGAUGGAUGGGAAUAAGCUGGAUGAUCUAGUCUGCGUGAAACAUCCCCUGAAAUCCGAGGCAUGAAACAAUGGCUUGAUAUGAUGGAUCCAUUUGAGUUGAACCUAAUUAGUAUUUUACAUGCACAAAUACAAGGGAAUCAAGAGUCGUGUUCAACACACCAAGCAGCUUCCUCUUGGAGUGUAAACUAGUAACAACCACCAGAGUGAACUCAGAUCUUCGGAAGUGCGCUGCGAAAUUGUCUGAUUACCUGGUGAUCUGAAUUACUGGAGGAACGAGGAAAGAAGGGACCAGUGUCCUUACUCUUUUCUUAAUUUUGUAAGCAGAGAAAUCUCAUGCUCCAUAUUUUACCUGAUUUUGUUAUUAGGGUUGCUUUUAUUCUUCUCACUGUGAAUUUGUGGUUUUGAACUGUCCUAUCCAGUAUAGUCAAAAGGGAAGGGUGAAGUAGGGAUUGCAGAUAGUGCACGGCAAACACCAUAAACCAGCAAAUACUGUCCUGUAUAGCACGGUUUUUUUAAAACGCUCUUCCCCUGCAACUCCAACAUUCUUUUGCUUCUAACAUUUAUUUUCAUUUUUCAUUGAUGAAUUAUGUACGUUAUACAUUUUGAAUAUGAAUUAUUGAGAUUGUACUUUCACAAAA